RNAcentral lists this ribosomal RNA (442 nucleotides) under uncultured bacterium. Its description in RNAcentral is "partial 16S ribosomal RNA". It matches the Rfam family "Bacterial small subunit ribosomal RNA", at positions 338 to 795 of the family's 1533-position model. The record is from RNAcentral.
CCUACGGGAGGCAGCAGGGGGGAAUCUUGGGCAAUGGGCGCAAGCCUGACCCAGCAACGCCGCGUGAAGGUAGAAGGCUUUCGGGUUGUAAACUUCUUUUAAGAGGGAAGAGCUGAAUACGGUACCUCUUGAAUAAGCCACGGCUAACUACGUGCCAGCAGCCGCGGUAAUCCGUAGGUGGCAAGCGUUUUCCGGAUUUACUGGGUGUAAAGGGCGUGCAGCCGGGAAGACAAGUCAGAUGUGAAAUCCCGCGGCUCAACCGCGGAACUGCAUUUGAAACUGUUUUUCUUGAGUACCGGAGAGGUCAUCGGAAUUCCUUGUGUAGCGGUGAAAUGCGUAGAUAUUAGGAGGAACACCAGUGGCGAAGGCGGCUUACUGGACUGUAACUGACGUUGAGGCUCGAAAGCGUGGGGAGCAAACAGGAUUAGAUACCCCUGUAGUC